Molecule: transfer RNA, 73 nt
Filed under: Ailuropoda melanoleuca (giant panda)
Lineage: Eukaryota; Metazoa; Chordata; Mammalia; Carnivora; Ursidae
Rfam family: tRNA
About the family: Transfer RNA (tRNA) molecules are approximately 80 nucleotides in length. Their secondary structure includes four short double-helical elements and three loops (D, anti-codon, and T loops). Further hydrogen bonds mediate the characteristic L-shaped molecular structure. tRNAs have two regions of fundamental functional importance: the anti-codon, which is responsible for specific mRNA codon recognition, and the 3' end, to which the tRNAs corresponding amino acid is attached (by aminoacyl-tRNA synthetases). tRNAs cope with the degeneracy of the genetic code in two manners: having more than one tRNA (with a specific anti-codon) for a particular amino acid; and 'wobble' base-pairing, i.e. permitting non-standard base-pairing at the 3rd anti-codon position.
Source: Rfam by way of RNAcentral
GCCUGGCUGGCUCAGUCAGUAGAGUGUGUGACUCCUGAUCUGUAGGUUAUGGGUUCGAGCCUCAUGUUGGGUG